AGAGUUUGAUCCUGGCUCAGAAUCAACGCUGGCGGCGUGCCUAACACAUGCAAGUCGAACGAGAAAGGGGAGCAAUCCCUGAGUAAAGUGGCGCACGGGUGAGUAACACGUGACUAACCUACCCUUGAGUGGGGGAUAACUUCGGGAAACCGAGGCUAAUACCGCAUAAUACCUACGGGUCAAAGGAGCAAUUCGCUCAAGGAGGGGGUCGCGGCCGAUUAGUUAGUUGGCGGGGUAAUGGCCCACCAAGACGAUGAUCGGUAUCCGGCCUGAGAGGGCGCACGGACACACUGGAACUGAAACACGGUCCAGACUCCUACGGGAGGCAGCAGUGGGGAAUUUUGCGCAAUGGGGGAAACCCUGACGCAGCAACGCCGCGUGGAGGAUGAAGUCCUUCGGGACGUAAACUCCUUUCGAUCGGGACGAUUAUGACGGUACCGGAAGAAGAAGCCCCGGCUAACUUCGUGCCAGCAGCCGCGGUAAUACGAGGGGGGCGAGCGUUGUUCGGAAUUAUUGGGCGUAAAGGGUGCGUAGGCGGUUUGGUAAGUCUGAUGUGAAAUCUAUGGGCUCAACUCAUAGUCUGCAUUAGAAACUGCCGGGCUUGAGUAUGGGAGAGGUGAGUGGAAUUCCUGGUGUAGCGGUGAAAUGCGUAGAUAUCAGGAGGAACACCUGUGGCGAAAGCGGCUCACUGGACCAUAACUGACGCUGAUGCACGAAAGCUAGGGGAGCAAACAGGAUUAGAUACCCCUGUAGUCC
Molecule: ribosomal RNA, 756 nt
Filed under: uncultured bacterium
Lineage: Bacteria
Description: bacterial SSU rRNA
Rfam family: Bacterial small subunit ribosomal RNA
Source: RNAcentral